AGCAACUGCUCUAGCUACUUCCGGAUUAUCAGUAAAUAUGUAGGCAAGAUGGCCGCGUAACAUUAGGAAUCCAACAAACAAUACCAAACCGAUACUCAAUGAUGUGGAUGUCGCCACAAUUAUAGAAAAUUUUGCAGCUCUUGCACUCCCGGCUCCAAGCUCAUUUGCCACCCGAACACCUGCUGCAGCCAAGAAACCCAG
Molecule: unclassified non-coding RNA, 201 nt
Filed under: Hevea brasiliensis (rubber tree)
Lineage: Eukaryota; Viridiplantae; Streptophyta; Magnoliopsida; Malpighiales; Euphorbiaceae
Source: RNAcentral